RNAcentral lists this unclassified non-coding RNA (20 nucleotides) under Mus musculus (house mouse). RNAcentral's name for it is "oocyte_clustered_small_RNA8213". The record is from RNAcentral. Lineage: Eukaryota; Metazoa; Chordata; Mammalia; Rodentia; Muridae.
UCUACCAGUCUCCCAAGUGU